Molecule: long non-coding RNA, 376 nt
Filed under: Malus domestica (apple)
Lineage: Eukaryota; Viridiplantae; Streptophyta; Magnoliopsida; Rosales; Rosaceae
Description: long non-coding RNA (MDOM_LNC006247)
Source: RNAcentral
GUAACAAAGUUUGCUAUUGUUUUCAGUAACCUACACGCAGCCCUAGCGGAAUUACCCUCUAUGGACGGACGAGUGGUCGGGGGCUCGUUAGCACUAUCUGCUUCUUUGAGGUGACACUAGCUCUUUUCGUGAUUGGGAAGACGAUAACGUUCACGACUCGAUGAUUUAUGUUCGGGGUUCUGAUGAUUUCUGCUGUUCUUUUGAGGCAGUUGCAGCUCACCUGUUAGACUUCUGCUGCAUUCUGUUUCGUCAAGCACAACAUUUACAACACCCAGUGAAAUAUACGGAAAAAGUCAUUCAUGUUCGGCUAGAAAUAUCGAAACUGCCAGAUGUAAGGAAGACGGUUGCAAAGGGAAAUCGAAGAAAAAAGAAAUCU